This 513-nucleotide ribosomal RNA is filed under the name uncultured bacterium. RNAcentral describes it as "partial 16S ribosomal RNA". It matches the Rfam family "Bacterial small subunit ribosomal RNA", at positions 28 to 523 of the family's 1533-position model. The record is from RNAcentral.
GACGAACGCUGGCGGCAUGCCUAAUACAUGCAAGUCGAGCGAACGGAUGAAGUGCUUGCACUUCUGACGUUAGCGGCGAACGGGUGAGUAACACGUAAGGAAUCUACCUAUAAGCGGGGGAUAACAUUCGGAAACGGGUGCUAAUACCGCAUAAUAUCUUCUUCCGCAUGGAAGAAGAGUGAAAGACGGCUCUGCUGUCACUUAUAGAUGACCUUGCGGUGCAUUAUUUGGUUGGUGGGGUAACGGCCUACCAAGACGAUGAUGCAUAGCCGACCUGAGAGGGUGAUCGGCCACAUUGGGACUGAGACACGGCCCAAACUCCUACGGGAGGCAGCAGUAGGGAAUCUUCCGCAAUGGGCGAAAGCCUGACGGAGCAAUGCCGCGUGAGUGAAGAAGGCCUUCGGGUCGUAAAACUCUGUUAUAAGAGAAGAACAAAUUGUAGAGUAACUGCUACAGUCUUGACGGUAUCUUAUCAGAAAGCCACGGCUAACUACGUGCCAGCAGCCGCCGUAA